CGCGUAGGUGGCUAUGUAAGUCGGAUGUGAAAGCCCCGGGCUUAACCUGGGAACUGCAUUCGAUACUGCGUGGCUAGAGUAUGGAAGAGGGAAGUGGAAUUCCGGGUGUAGCGGUGAAAUGCGUAGAUAUCCGGAGGAACAUCAGUGGCGAAGGCGACUUCCUGGGCCAAUACUGACACUGAGGUGCGAAAGCGUGGGUAGCAAACA
Molecule: ribosomal RNA, 207 nt
Filed under: uncultured bacterium
Lineage: Bacteria
Description: partial 16S ribosomal RNA
Rfam family: Bacterial small subunit ribosomal RNA
Source: RNAcentral